RNAcentral lists this unclassified non-coding RNA (250 nucleotides) under Basidiomycota sp. RNAcentral's name for it is "partial contains small subunit ribosomal RNA, internal transcribed spacer 1, and 5.8S ribosomal RNA". The stretch from base 1 to 47 matches the Rfam family "Eukaryotic small subunit ribosomal RNA", at positions 1785 to 1831 of the family's 1831-position model. The record is from RNAcentral. Lineage: Eukaryota; Fungi; Basidiomycota.
AAAGUCGUAACAAGGUUUCCGUAGGUGAACCUGCGGAAGGAUCAUUAUUGAAUCCAAAGGAUGUUGCUGGUGCUUGAAAAAGUACAUGUGCACUCCGACCUUCAUAUCCACCUGUGCACUCAUUGUAGGCUCUGGAUUGAUUUCCAGAGUCUAUGUUUUCAUACACACGCUACAAAGUUUAUGGAAUGUCUGGGCUUUUCAUUGCCUAAAAAAAUUAAUACAACUUUCAACAACGGAUCUCUUGGUUCUC